AGUGAACGCUGGCGGUAGGCCUAACACAUGCAAGUCGAACGGCAGCACAGGAGAGCUUGCUCUCUGGGUGGCGAGUGGCGGGCGGGUGAGGAAUACAUCGGAAUCUACUCUGUCGUGGGGGAUAACGUAGGGAAACUUACGCUAAUACCGCAUACGACCUACGGGUGAAAGCAGGGGACCUUCGGGCCUUGCGCGAUUGAAUGAGCCGAUGUCGGAUUAGCUAGUUGGCGGGGUAAAGGCCCACCAAGGCGACGAUCCGUAGCUGGUCUGAGGGGAUGAGCAGCCACACUGGAACUGAGACACGGUCCAGACUCCGACGGGAGGCAGCAGUGGGGAAUAUUGGACAAUGGGCGCAAGCCUGAUCCAGCCAUACCGCGUGGGUGAAGAAGGCCUUCGGGUUGUAAAGCCCUUUUGUUGGGAAAGAAAUCCAGCUGGCUAAUACCCGGUUGGGAUGACGGUACCCAAAGAAUAAGCACCGGCUAACUUCGUGCCAGCCGCCGCGGUAA
RNAcentral lists this ribosomal RNA (506 nucleotides) under uncultured bacterium. RNAcentral's name for it is "partial 16S ribosomal RNA". It matches the Rfam family "Bacterial small subunit ribosomal RNA", at positions 29 to 523 of the family's 1533-position model. The record is from RNAcentral.